CCUACGGGCGGCAGCAGUGGGGAAUAUUGGACAAUGGGGGGAACCCUGAUCCAGCCAUGCCGCGUGUGUGAAGAAGGCCCUCGGGUUGUAAAGCACUUUCAGUGAGGAAGAACGCCUGGUGGUUAAUACCCAUCAGGAAAGACAUCACUCACAGAAGAAGCACCGGCUAACUCCGUGCCAGCAGCCGCGGUAAUACGGAGGGUGCGAGCGUUAAUCGGAAUUACUGGGCGUAAAGCGCGCGUAGGUGGCUUGAUAAGCCGGUUGUGAAAGCCCCGGGCUCAACCUGGGAACGGCAUCCGGAACUGUCAAGCUAGAGUGCAGGAGAGGAAGGUAGUAUUCCCGGUGUAGCGGUGAAAUGCGUAGAGAUCGGGAGGAAUACCAGUGGCGAAGGCGGCCUUCUGGACUGACACUGACACUGAGGUGCGAAAGCGUGGGUAGCAAACAGGAUUAGAUACCCGGGUAGUC
This 465-nucleotide ribosomal RNA is filed under the name Vreelandella stevensii. RNAcentral's name for it is "partial 16S ribosomal RNA". It matches the Rfam family "Bacterial small subunit ribosomal RNA", at positions 338 to 795 of the family's 1533-position model. Lineage: Bacteria; Pseudomonadati; Pseudomonadota; Gammaproteobacteria; Oceanospirillales; Halomonadaceae. The record is from RNAcentral.